This 173-nucleotide microRNA precursor is filed under the name Prunus dulcis (almond). RNAcentral describes it as "sRNA ncRNA". Lineage: Eukaryota; Viridiplantae; Streptophyta; Magnoliopsida; Rosales; Rosaceae. The record is from RNAcentral.
GAGAGAGAGAGAGAGAGAGAGAGAGAGAGAGAGAGAGAGAGGAGAAAUAAAAGUGAAAACAAAAACUUGAAAGUGAAAACAAUUUCAAAUAGAGUUCAGUUUUUAAUUUUCGUUUUCAUUUUUGUUACUCCUCUCUACUAUCCUCCCUUCUCAUCUUCCCUCUCAAUUUUUUC